RNA transcript from Daphnia carinata, 1800 nucleotides. RefSeq lists it as uncharacterized. The record is from RefSeq and is a predicted model, not a curated record. NCBI's taxonomy places the organism in Eukaryota, Metazoa, Arthropoda, Branchiopoda, Diplostraca, Daphniidae. The transcript has 4 exons.
ACAAACCACCACCUGCUGAUUUCUCUAGGCACACCUGAAAGUUCUAUAUCUGUCCAUCGACGGAUGUGUGACUUGAGGUGUGACUGCUGUAACGUUUAUAACUCGGUUGACCUUGACGGCGACGUGCAACCCAUAAAUGGAAGAAUGGUUUCGCCUUUAUUUUGCUCAACCAAGACUUUGCGGCCGCUGUUGAAGACCAAAAGACUGGCACAACCCACACGCAUGGAGGAAUAAGGAAAGAAAAAAAAAACUCCUGACUCUCCUUCGCCUCCAGUUCUUCCAGCGACUUCAUACGGAACAGUUGAUUUUUCCCAUUUUUGUUAAUUUUUGUGUUCUCGUAUCACAUCCAGUUCGUCGUUACCCAUUAGUGUUCUCCUUAUUGAUUGGCUAAUUAAUUACAUUCGAAAGGCGUACAUUCCGUGUUUCGGGUAUAUCCUAUCCAUCGUUGGAUAUGGCCCGUUGCUCCUGGUUGAUAUGCAGCAGUCUUAUUUUCCUCUUUUCUUCAGCUGCUGUUGCGUUAGGUAACUACAUUUCUCUAGCUGACAAGCGACAAAAGUCGACAAUUUGUAUCCGUUCUGUUUCUUUUCUGCGGAACAGAAUCGCCGUCUAAUGGCACGGCAAGUGCGGCUGGAAACGUGACGGAGAGAGAUGGACGGACGUACGACGUUCAUCCACCUGCGCCAGGCUCCGUCAAUGAAAGGCUGGAAGUUCAGUCGCUCUCUCCGCGUCCUAAAUCACUUGGAACUGGUACGUGGAAAGCCAUUAAAAUCUGGAACGAUCCGAUAGGUGCAUCUACAGAAAAACGAGCCUCAUCACCUGAACGAGUUAUUGCUUCUUCAGCGAGGCACACAGCAGAUUCAUCCAUCUUGAUAUUCUUCAUCUAUCCCAUUAUGCGACUAGUUGACCUUAGCACUUCAUGCAACUAGUUGAAUAAGCUUAUUACUGCAUGAACUUUAAAGUGAUAUCUAAUUACCUAAUGCAUGUUUUCAUAUUUUAUAUACAUAACAGAUAUGUCAUAUUGUACAUAAGACGUUGCUAAAUUGGGGAAGACAUAUGUUAUAAAACGAUUGCUUAUCAAACUCACUCAAGUGUGUCCAUCUGACGAACCCCUCUCUUUGAAGCUUGGCAGCAGAUGUUUGGCCCCCUUGGUAAUGAGGAUCCUACACCAGCAUGAAAACAUAUGAAGUAUAAUACAAACCUUGCGCUGUAUGCAUAAAAAUCUUGAUAUCUUCUUCAUACCAACACCAGCAACCACCGGUUAUCGUCAACAGAACAGGUGCCCAAAACACCUUUCGACGAAGCGUCUUUGUCACCUCCCAUCAUAAUUGGCGGGGCGGAUGAUGAUUUUGCAAAGUGUUCUUCCAGUUUCGGAAAAAUGCUUGUCAUUACACCAGAAGGACAAUGAAGGAUUUUACAAGGAACAUCAAAAAGCUUGUCAAUUACUAAGCAAACCUGUAUAGUUAAUAAAAAGCUAAAAAUUUUACACAAAGAUCCCAAAAGUUUUACGUAAAACCUCAAAACUUCCAAUCCAUCCUCUUGAUUUUAUAAAAGAUAGUUCCUUGUCUCCAAUUUCAACUAAUGUUUCUUGAAUUUUCAUGAGAGUUGGAACUUGUCCAACUUUACCUUGCUGAAGUGAAAGGUGGGAGGCAAUAGUUUGCAGUGUCCUAUAACCACAGCCCCAUCCCUGUAACGGGGUCAACGAAUAUUCAAAAGUUCUUUGCUCCCACGCCGUGUAAUAAUAACUCACCACGUCAUUGUAACCAUCACACUUGUAAUGAUAAUACACAUAACCGUUGGUGA